Molecule: ribosomal RNA, 555 nt
Filed under: Escherichia coli
Lineage: Bacteria; Pseudomonadati; Pseudomonadota; Gammaproteobacteria; Enterobacterales; Enterobacteriaceae
Description: partial 23S ribosomal RNA
Rfam family: Bacterial large subunit ribosomal RNA
Source: RNAcentral
GGGUUGUGAGGUUAAGCGACUAAGCGUACACGGUGGAUGCCCUGGCAGUCAGAGGCGAUGAAGGACGUGCUAAUCUGCGAUAAGCGUCGGUAAGGUGAUAUGAACCGUUAUAACCGGCGAUUUCCGAAUGGGGAAACCCAGUGUGUUUCGACACACUAUCAUUAACUGAAUCCAUAGGUUAAUGAGGCGAACCGGGGGAACUGAAACAUCUAAGUACCCCGAGGAAAAGAAAUCAACCGAGAUUCCCCCAGUAGCGGCGAGCGAACGGGGAGGAGCCCAGAGCCUGAAUCAGUGUGUGUGUUAGUGGAAGCGUCUGGAAAGGCGCGCGAUACAGGGUGACAGCCCCGUACACAAAAAUGCACAUGCUGUGAGCUCGAUGAGUAGGGCGGGACACGUGGUAUCCUGUCUGAAUAUGGGGGGACCAUCCUCCAAGGCUAAAUACUCCUGACUGACCGAUAGUGAACCAGUACCGUGAGGGAAAGGCGAAAAGAACCCCGGCGAGGGGAGUGAAAAAGAACCUGAAACCGUGUACGUACAAGCAGUGGGAGCACGCUU